GAGGAUUUUAGAGCUAGCAAAUGAAUUAAUGCCCCUUUCAUCAAAUAUCUACGUCGUGCACGUUGUCAACUCGCCAAUAAUCAUGAGUAUGAUCGUCUAUCAAUUAAUGCUAGAAUUCAAUGUUAUCUUCUUUAUGCAUUUACUUCUAUGGACAUAUGCAACCAGUAUCGGUUGUGUAGUGGGC
This is a long non-coding RNA of Dalotia coriaria, 184 nucleotides long. RefSeq lists it as uncharacterized. The record is from RefSeq and is a predicted model, not a curated record. Lineage: Eukaryota; Metazoa; Arthropoda; Insecta; Coleoptera; Staphylinidae. The transcript has 3 exons.